GACGAACGCUGGCGGCGUGCCUAAUACAUGCAAGUAGAACGCUGAAGGAGGAGCUUGCUUCUCUGGAUGAGUUGCGAACGGGUGAGUAACGCGUAGGUAACCUGCCUGGUAGCGGGGGAUAACUAUUGGAAACGAUAGCUAAUACCGCAUAAUAGUAGAUGUUGCAUGACAUUUGCUUAAAAGGUGCAAUUGCAUCACUACCAGAUGGACCUGCGUUGUAUUAGCUAGUUGGUGAGGUAACGGCUCACCAAGGCAACGAUACAUAGCCGACCUGAGAGGGUGAUCGGCCACACUGGGACUGAGACACGGCCCAGACUCCUACGGGAGGCAGCAGUAGGGAAUCUUCGGCAAUGGACGGAAGGCUGACCGAGCAACGCCGCGUGAGUGAAGAAGGUUUUCGGAUCGUAAAGCUCUGUUGUAAGAGAAGAACGAGUGUGAGAGUGGAAAGUUCACACUGUGACGGUAUCUGACCAGAAAGGGACGGCUAACUACGUG
This 495-nucleotide ribosomal RNA is filed under the name uncultured bacterium. RNAcentral's name for it is "partial 16S ribosomal RNA". It matches the Rfam family "Bacterial small subunit ribosomal RNA", at positions 28 to 507 of the family's 1533-position model. The record is from RNAcentral.